This 439-nucleotide ribosomal RNA is filed under the name uncultured bacterium. Its description in RNAcentral is "partial 16S ribosomal RNA". It matches the Rfam family "Bacterial small subunit ribosomal RNA", at positions 339 to 795 of the family's 1533-position model. The record is from RNAcentral.
CUACGGGAUGCAGCAGUGGGGAAUAUUGGACAAUGGAGGCAACUCUGAUCCAGCCAUGCCGCGUGAGUGAUGAAGGCCUUAGGGUUGUAAAGCUCUUUCGCCGGUGAAGAUGAUGACUGUAGCCGGUAAAGAAGCCCCGGCUAACUUCGUGCCAGCAGCCGCGGUAAUACGAAGGGGGCUAGCGUUGUUCGGAAUUACUGGGCGUAAAGCGCGCGUAGGCGGCUUGAUCAGUCAGAGGUGAAAUCCCAGGGCUCAACCCUGGAACUGCCUUUGAUACUGUCAAGCUAGAGCUCGGAAGAGGGUGGCGGAAUAUCCAGUGUAGAGGUGAAAUUCGUAGAUAUUGGAUAGAACACCAGUGGCGAAGGCGGCCACCUGGUCCGUAGCUGACGCUGAGGUGCGAAAGCGUGGGGAGCAAACAGGAUUAGAUACCCGAGUAGUC